AUGGGAAAUGGCGAUGACGAGAAGGUGGAAGGCCUCCACCACGCCCGGCAGCCCCCGCACGGCGAGUCUUCCUCUUCCUCCUCCUCCUCCUCCCCCUCCUACCGACACGCCACGAAGCGCCGACGCGCGCACGGCGCCGCAGCAGCCAUGGCCGACCGCUUCUUCCCCAACGACCUCCCCGACUUCGUCGCCGAGGCACCCGACGGCGGCGACCCUCCCGCCGCCGGGCUCCGCGGCCUGCUCUCGCUCCCCUACCCCAGGCUCUCCGACCGGCUCCUCCGCGCCGCCCUCCGGCUCAAAGACAAGGUCGUGCAAGAGACAUGGACUAGGACGGGGGGCCAUGUGACGGACUACACGCUCUACACGGGCGCGCUCGGGACGGCGCUCCUGCUGUUCAAGUCCUUCCAGGUCACCGGCGACCGCCGUGAUCUCAACCUCGCCAGCGAGAUCGUCCAAGCCUGCGAUGCCGCGUCGCUUGGCCUGCCGCGCAGGUUCUUGACUUUCAUAUGUGGGAGGGCCGGCGUCUGCGCUCUCGGAGCAGUGAUUGCAAAGCAUUGCAAUGAUCAGUUGAUGGAGACCAACUUUCUGAGCUCGUUUGAUGAGAUAAUUAUCACAGAGAAAGUUCCAAAUGAGCUGCUGUAUGGAAGGGCGGGUUAUUUGUGGGCUUGUUUGUUCCUGAAUGAGCAUCUCAGUGACAAGACAAUUCCUGCCGAACACAUUAGUUCUGUGGCAAAGGACAUAAUUAUGGAGGGAAGGAAGCUGUCGAACAAGGGGAGCUGCCCGCUGAUGUAUGAGUGGCAUGGGAAGAAGUACUGGGGUGCUGCCCAUGGACUCGCUGGAAUCAUGCAUGUUCUCAUGCACACUGAAUUGAAGCUGGAUGAGCAGGAUGACGUGAAGAAUACUCUGCGGUACAUGAUCAGUAACCGGUUUCCAAGUGGAAACUACCCCUCGAGUGAAGACAGCGAAUCCGAUCGCCUGGUGCAUUGGUGCCAUGGUGCCCCUGGUGUUGCUCUUGCACUUGCUAAGGCAUAUCAGGUCUUCCAAGAUGAUCACUUCAAGCAGUCCGCUGCAGAGGCUGCUGAAGUUGUCUGGAACCGUGGUCUUCUCAAGCGAGUUGGAAUAUGCCACGGUAUAAGCGGGAAUGCCUAUGUAUUCCUCUCACUUUAUAGGCUAACCGGCAAUGUUGAGUACCUCUACCGGGCUAAGGCUUUUGCUUGCUUUCUGCUUGAAAAUGCUGAUCGAUUGAUUGCUGAGGAGGCCAUGCAUGGUGGUGACCGUCCGUUUUCAUUGUUUGAAGGAAAGGCUGGGAUGGCGUAUCUCCUUUUAGACAUGGUUAACCCCUCGGAAUCAAGGUUCCCCGCCUAUGAACUUUGA
RNAcentral lists this ribosomal RNA (1374 nucleotides) under Triticum aestivum (bread wheat). RNAcentral describes it as "partial small subunit ribosomal RNA". Lineage: Eukaryota; Viridiplantae; Streptophyta; Magnoliopsida; Poales; Poaceae. The record is from RNAcentral.